UUGUUGCAACCUUCUAAUAGCUUUACGUCUCCUAAUCUCAAGGAGAAGGGUUAGAAUGUACCGUGUUUUACGGGAGUUCUUUUCCUGUAGAGUUACAUUGGUUGCUAGAAUAACCGUAAGUCAUAGUACAUAUCAAGACCAAAAAUACCCUUGGUGUGUCUCCAUUUGAGAACGAACAUUUU
This is a small nucleolar RNA of Schizosaccharomyces osmophilus, 182 nucleotides long. The record is from RefSeq and is a predicted model, not a curated record. Lineage: Eukaryota; Fungi; Ascomycota; Schizosaccharomycetes; Schizosaccharomycetales; Schizosaccharomycetaceae.